Molecule: long non-coding RNA, 2362 nt
Filed under: Mytilus galloprovincialis (Mediterranean mussel)
Lineage: Eukaryota; Metazoa; Mollusca; Bivalvia; Mytilida; Mytilidae
Source: RNAcentral
CUUUUUUAUGUUUGCUUAAUCUUAGCUGUCAAAGAAUGUUAAUAUGAUACAUCACUAAACUGGUAUUGUGAUGAUAUUUAAAAAGUUUAAACAAUUAAUUCAAUUAUAUGGAUUUAUUUAUUUUUUCGUGGGUAUCAAUUUUCGUGGAUAAAGGAAAACUUGUUUCUUCAUGGAUAUUAAAUUUCGUGGUUUUGCCAAUGUCUACAUACAAGCCUAAGAAAAUUUGUUAUUCUUUGAACAUUUAAUUUCGUGGUUUACCUGUACCAACGAAAUCCACGAAAAUUUGUAUCCAACGAAUAACCAGAUGCUCCGCAUGUGAAGCUUUAUACGACCGCAGAGGUCAAACCCUGAACAGUUGGGGCAAGUAUGGACACAACAUUUAAGCUUGAUACAGCUCUGAAUUUGGAUUGUGAUUAAAUAGUUGACACAUCAUAGGUUUCUGACAAAGAAUGAAUGUGGUCUAAGAACUUAAACUUAAAAACUUAAAAAUUUUAAAUUGGACAUUUACCUAUUAUGGUCCAAUAUCAAAAAUCUAAAUACAUGGUUAGAUUCAGCAUAUCAUAGAACCCCAAGAAUUCAAUUUUUGAUGAAAUCAAAUAAUGUUCAAUUUAGACCCUUUAGACCUCAAUGUGGACCAACUUGAUAACCGGGCCCAAAUAUUAAAAAUCUAAAUAUAUGGUUAGAUUCAGCAUAUUGAAGAACCCCAUUUAUUCAAUUUUUGUUGAAAUCAAACUAAAUUUAAUUUUGGACCCCGAUUUGAACCAACUUGAAAACUGGGCCCAUAAUCAAAAAUCUAAGUACGUGUUUAGAUUCAGCAUAUCAAAGAACCCCAAGAAUUUAAUUUUUGUUAAAAUCAAACUAAGUUUAAUUUUGGACCCUUUGGACCUUAAUGUUGACCAAUUUGAAAACAGGACCAAAAAUUAAGAAUCUAAAUACACAGUUAGAUUUGGCAUAUCAAAUAAUCCCAAUAAUUCUUUUUUUGUUGAAAUCAAACAAAGUUUAAUUUUGGACCCUUUUGGCCCCUAAUUCCUAAACUGUUGGGACCAAAACUCCCAAAAUCAAUCCCAACCUUCCGUUUGUGGUCAUAAACCUUGUGUUAAAAUUUCAUAGAUUUCUAUAUACUUAUACUAAAGUUAUUGUGCAAAAACCGAGAAAAUUGCUUAUUUGGGUACAUUUUGCCCCUCAUUCCUAAACUGUUGGGACCAAACUCCCAAAACCAUCCCAACCUUCCUUUUAUGGUCAUAAACAUUAUGUUUCCAUUUUGCGGUUGUAUAAAAAUGAAUCCACAGUACAUACUUUUAUUAACUUGGAGAUAAGUACAUGGAAUGUUUUUAAUUGUGAAAUAGUAGGUAAGACAUAAAAGAUUAUCCUUCACUUUCAGUCAAAAUGUAACAAGUGAACGAAAAAGGCAUUGACUGCAUGUAAAUGAACAUAUAUAAAACUAUAUACAAUAACCAUCCAUUAACAACAAUAGCAUAUCUAUAACAAAUAAAUUAUCGUCCAGACUAAUAAUUUAACAAGUAAAUUCAAAACAGAAAAGUCCUCUCCAAAAAUACGUCUGAUACCAUCACAGCACAAUAGAAUUGACUAUAAAUGCAAUACCGUACAUAUUAAUAUCACAUAUUUCUCUAUCCAUGAUUGAUAACUAGGUUGUAGAGAUUUAGAAAAACAAGGAGAGGACUACACAAGUUAUACUGUAUAAAUACACUAUCAAUAUCUUAUGGUGAAUUAACAACAUGAAGUAAAUAAUGAACUGAAGUUGUAUUGUAUCAAAUGUCAAGUUCUUUCUUUAAAAGGAAAUAUUCAGUGGUUUUAAAAUUUUAAAUAAAAAAAAUAUACUUUUGGCUUUAUCAUUCAUCUAUUUUAUAAAUUGUCUUGCCUAUUGCAAUUCACAGAAAAAGAAAAAGGAAACAAAAAUUCCCCACCACUGAUUAAUUUUUCAUGAAUCAAAUGUAUUUAUAACCAUAACUUCUCUUUUCUAUACAUCAUAUACAUUUUAAUGAAAUUACUAACUUAUUUUGAAACCUUGAGAGUUUUAUGGUUCAAUUUCAUUUGUUUUGUUUCAUUUCUGACGAACAUAAACAUAUACAUUGUGUAGUAGCAGGAGAAUGUUGAUUUCAAUUUUAGUUAUAUUUCUUGGUGGCAUCAUCAUAAGAUGGCGGACAUGAUGGCGGUGUUACCAUGUGUACAUUAUGUGGUGCAUUGGGAUUAUAAUAUGCACUGGCAGCAGCUUCUCUAGCUUUCUCAUCUGUAAAUAUAAGGGAAAAAUGCUAAUUGCAUGAUGCAUAAGUAUGUGUUUUAAAAUGUAAAUCUAGAUUUCUAUGAGCAAAGCUUGUAAUUUUUGGCUUUUUAUUGCUCUCCC